RNAcentral lists this ribosomal RNA (308 nucleotides) under uncultured Rhodobacterales bacterium. Its description in RNAcentral is "SSU rRNA". It matches the Rfam family "Bacterial small subunit ribosomal RNA", at positions 29 to 367 of the family's 1533-position model. Lineage: Bacteria; Pseudomonadati; Pseudomonadota; Alphaproteobacteria; Rhodobacterales. The record is from RNAcentral.
ACGAACGCUGGCGGCAGGCCUAACACAUGCAAGUCGAACGCUACCUUCGGGUGGAGCGGCGGACGGGUUAGUAACGCGUGGGAAUAUACCCAGUUCUAAGGAAUAGCCACUGGAAACGGUGAGUAAUACCUUAUACGCCCUUCGGGGGAAAGAUUUAUCGGUAAAGGAUUAGCCCGCGUUAGAUUAGAUAGUUGGUGGGUAACGCCUACCAAGUCUACGAUCUAUAGCUGAUUUGAGAGGAUGAUCAGCAACACUGGGACUGAGACACGGCCCAGACUCCUACGGGAGGCAGCAGUGGGGAAUAUUGG